RNAcentral lists this small RNA (127 nucleotides) under Marmota monax (woodchuck). The record is from RNAcentral. Lineage: Eukaryota; Metazoa; Chordata; Mammalia; Rodentia; Sciuridae.
GCCAGGCACGGUGGCACAUGCCUGUAAUCCCAGCAGCUCGGGAGGUUGAAGAGGGAGGAUCUCAAGUUUGAGGCCAGUCUCAGCAACUUAGCAAGACCCUCAGCAACUUUGAAAGACCCUAUCUCUA